Cynara cardunculus var. scolymus (artichoke) is the source of this 97-nucleotide small nucleolar RNA. RefSeq annotates it as small nucleolar RNA Z266. The transcript has a single exon. Lineage: Eukaryota; Viridiplantae; Streptophyta; Magnoliopsida; Asterales; Asteraceae. The record is from RefSeq and is a predicted model, not a curated record.
GGAUGGCAAGAAUGAUGAGAAAAUUUGAUUAUGGGAAAGGAUUGAUUCCUUGGUGAAUUUAACCAUUAAUGCUUAUUGAUAUUCUGACUUGCUAUUC